Molecule: ribosomal RNA, 977 nt
Filed under: human gut metagenome
Description: bacterial LSU rRNA
Rfam family: Bacterial large subunit ribosomal RNA
Source: RNAcentral
CCUAAGGUAGCGAAAUUCCUUGUCAGGUAAGUUCUGACCCGCACGAAUGGCGUAAUGAUUUGGGCACUGUCUCGACAGCCCGCCCGGCGAAAUUGUAGUACUGGUGAAGAUGCCAGUUACCCGCAACUAGACGGAAAGACCCCAUGGAGCUUUACUGCAGUUUAAUACUGGGAAUCGGUAAUUCAUGUACAGGAUAGGUGGGAGACUGAGAAGCAUGGCCGUCAGGUCGUGUGGAGUCACCGGUGGGAUACCACUCUUGGAUUGCUGGUUUCCUAACCUGCGGCCCUGAAUCGGGUCGGGGGACACUGUUAGACGGGCAGUUUGACUGGGGCGGUCGCCUCCAAAAGAGUAACGGAGGCGCUCAAAGGUUCGUUCAGCACGGACGGAAAUCGUGCAUUGAGUGUAAACGCAUAAACGAGCCUAACUGCGAGACCGACGGGUCGAGCAGUAACGAAAGUUGGAGUUAGUGAUCCGGUGGUAUGUGAGUGGAAAUGCCAUCGCUCAACGGAUAAAAGCUACCCUGGGGAUAACAGGCUGAUCUCCCCCAAGCGUCCACAGCGACGGGGAGGUUUGGCACCUCGAUGUCGGCUCGUCGCAUCCUGGGGCUGUAUUCGGUCCCAAGGGUUUGGCUGUUCGCCAAUUAAAGCGGCACGCGAGCUGGGUUCAGAACGUCGUGAGACAGUUCGGUCCCUAUCUGUUGCGGGCGUAAGAGAUUUGAAGGGAGCUGUCCUUAGUACGAGAGGACCGGGAUGGACGUACCUCUGGUGCACCAGUUGUCCUGCCAAGGGCAUAGCUGGGUAGCUAUGUACGGACGAGAUAAACGCUGAAAGCAUCUAAGCGUGAAACUCUCCCUAAGAUGAGAUCUCUCAUCCAUUAUGGAGUAAGGGCCCAGAAAGACGAUCUGGUUGAUAGGCCGGAGGUGGAAGCGCGGUAACGUGUGUAGCUGACCGGUACUAAUAGCCCGAGGGCUUGACCUA